RNAcentral lists this transfer RNA (79 nucleotides) under Halalkalicoccus jeotgali B3. Its description in RNAcentral is "tRNA-Und (NNN) (tRNA-Und-NNN-1-1)". It matches the Rfam family "tRNA". Rfam says of the family: Transfer RNA (tRNA) molecules are approximately 80 nucleotides in length. Their secondary structure includes four short double-helical elements and three loops (D, anti-codon, and T loops). Lineage: Archaea; Methanobacteriati; Methanobacteriota; Halobacteria; Halobacteriales; Halalkalicoccaceae. The record is from RNAcentral.
GGAAGGGUGGCUCAGUGGUAGAGCGCCGACGCACGUUUCGUGCAACAGGCUUCGCGUGGUUCGAAUCCCGCCCCUUCCG